RNAcentral lists this ribosomal RNA (253 nucleotides) under uncultured bacterium. RNAcentral's name for it is "partial 16S ribosomal RNA". It matches the Rfam family "Bacterial small subunit ribosomal RNA", at positions 524 to 776 of the family's 1533-position model. The record is from RNAcentral.
UACGUAGGGUGCGAGCGUUGUCCGGAAUUACUGGGCGUAAAGAGCUCGUAGGUGGUUUGUCGCGUUGUUCGUGAAAUCUCACGGCUUAACUGUGAGCGUGCGGGCGAUACGGGCAGACUAGAGUACUGCAGGGGAGACUGGAAUUCCUGGUGUAGCGGUGGAAUGCGCAGAUAUCAGGAGGAACACCGGUGGCGAAGGCGGAUCUCUGGGCCAUAACUGACGCUGAGGAGCGAAAGCAUGGGGAGCGAACAGG